CCUACGGGUGGCAGCAGUGAGGAAUAUUGGUCAAUGGGCGAGAGCCUGAACCAGCCAAGUCGCGUGAAGGAUGACGGCCCUACGGGUUGUAAACUUCUUUUGUCAGGGAGCAAUUGGGUCCACGCGUGGGCUUAGCGAGAGUACCUGAAGAAAAAGCAUCGGCUAACUCCGUGCCAGCAGCCGCGGUAAUACGGAGGAUGCUAGCGUUAUCCGGAUUUAUUGGGUUUAAGGGGUACGGAGGCGGAAUAUCAAGUCAGCGGUAAAAAUUGGGGGCUAAACCCCGUCGUGCCGUUGAAACUGAUGGUCUUGAGUGGGCGAGAGGUAAGCGGAAUGCGUGGUGGAGCGGGGAAAUGCAUAGAUAGCACGAAGAACACCGGUUGCGAAGGCAGCUUACCGGC
Molecule: ribosomal RNA, 398 nt
Filed under: uncultured bacterium
Lineage: Bacteria
Description: partial 16S ribosomal RNA
Rfam family: Bacterial small subunit ribosomal RNA
Source: RNAcentral